Molecule: long non-coding RNA, 2980 nt
Organism: Pan troglodytes (chimpanzee)
Lineage: Eukaryota; Metazoa; Chordata; Mammalia; Primates; Hominidae
Exons: 4
Source: RefSeq, a predicted model, not a curated record
GAUACGAUAAGGGUUGCCGGGGCCCCCCGCGCCCAGCCCCGCCCCGAGCCCCGCCCCGAGCCCCGCCCCAGCCAUACACAGCCCCGCCCCGGUCUAGCCCCCGAGCCCCGCCCUAGUCCCACACAGCCCCGCCCCGGCCGGACUCAGCCACAUCUCACUCCGCCUUCCUGCGCGUUGUACGGUUGCCAAGGGGACGCACCACUCUCCAGGACCUUCUGGGCUCAUCCGGGGACGGAGAAAAGCCAGAGACAGGGCUCACUAUCUACUGAAGCAUGCUAUCAGGCUGUACAAUGAAUACUCAAGACUAGGAGACAACAGUCCUUUAAUGACCCAACACUCCUGCUCUCACCUGAAAUAAUUGGUCAGAACGACGGGAAGAAACAGCAACAAAACAAAACAAACCCAGAAAACAACUAAUCUUCGCUUUUAACUUAAGAAGUGACAAUAAGGAGAGUUAUAGAUUAAAUUUUCAAUGAGAUAAAGAUUCCCAAUAUACAUGUACCAAAAAAGUGCAGUGAAAUAAAGAAGAAAGAAGCAAUUUCUCCAGAUAUUUCAUCUUGAAAUGCAUGCUACAUUCUACAUAGUUCAAUACUUCACAGGGAAAAAGUUCAGGUAGAAUUUGGAAGCAAAUGACCUAGGUUUGGUGCAAGCUUGCCAAUGCUUUGAGGUAUUGGGCAUAUCACUUAACAGCCAAUCUCAGUUUUCUGAGCUACAAAAUGAUUAGAAAAGCAUUACCUAUUUAAUAAGGUUACUGACAACAUGAAAUGAAUAUUUUGGAAAAAUCUUAUAAAGUAUAAUACAAAGGCAAUUUAUCUUGCUGGCAACGUUUCCAAAAAUCAUUAAAAUUUCCCCUUUUCAACUAAGAUGACCAAAGUAUAAGGAAGAACUCAGGUGGCAAGUUUCAACGCUAACAACUGUUCGGUGUUAAAAUGACCAGGAUCAUAGUUACUCUUGCUCCUGUGCAACUACAGAAGUCCAAUUCUCAAAGAAUCACAAGAAUUUCUACCAAUUAAGAAAACAUACUGGUAAACAAGCUGACAAUCUUGGCUGAUUAAAGAAUUCCUGCAAAAUACUAUACUAAGUAUACAGUACUGGUUGGAAGGCUAGAGUUAAUUCAAACAAAUUUAGGGAUCAAAUAAUUCUAAUUCGUAGCUAUUUUCCUCAAUGUCUGAAAUCACCAAAAGUGCACUGUGGGCACAAUCACUACUUUUCACGUUAACCCAGUACUAGAGUGUUGAAAAUUACUUAGAUAGCUUUGCAUGUUACUGACACACCUUUUAGAUUACUGCUACUCUGAACAGCUAAGCCCUGCCUUGGUAAUUACAUUUCCAAAUCUAACAUGCACAGGCUGUAUCUUCAGUAGAGAAGAACUGCGCACCACCGAGAACAUUAAGUAGCAUGGCCAUAUUCCAGGUAUGUAGUAAGGAACAAAAGAAUAUGAUGAAUUAAACCUCACACCAAAGGCGGUAAAACCCGAAAUCAUCCCUUACAGGGCAAAAAAACAGGCCAAACUUUUCUUCCGACAUUAUUUCAAGUGUUGGUGCUUCAACACACAUAUUUCCUAACUUAAUAACACUGAAGAGAUCCCAUCUAUGGGAAUGACAGGCCUGACAUCCAGAUCCAGCCCUUUCCUCUCGCCCCGUAGAACCCGUACAGCUUCCAUCUGAUUAGCACCAGCCUCUAAACUACGUGUCCCAAGCAGGUUCCUCCCCCUUUAGCGGCCAAAGAGAACAAGCUCCCUCAGCAAUAGAGUCCUGAUCACUGCGCUCAAGACAAAGAAGAAAAGGAGGCACUUUGGAAUAUUUGUGAAAUAAAGCAGCAAAGGAGUCAAAUAAGAAAACAGUUUGAAAUGGACUCCGGGAGCUGCGGUCUCUUUAAAACCUUCCCUCGCUUCCCGCGGAGAGUAAAAAGAGAAGUACACGUGGCUCUAAGCAACCAGGGACCCCAGGCUGGCCUGGUGAAGCCGAGGAAUGAGACCUGCGUCUUCCGGGCGCUAGGGCCCGAGCCGGGCGGACAAUAGGCGGGGGGGUUUCGGGGGUCUCCCCUUCCCGUGCCUCCCGCGCGAGGUGGUCUCGCGCGCCGGAAACAGGCCGCAUCCUCCAGCGGGCCUGGGCCCGCCCCAGUGCCCACCCCGACACUUACUCUUAUUGACGGUCUUGAGAGCGCGCGUGAAGUCGCCGUUCUGGCCAUACCGGUUCACUUCACUCCACAGCGCAGGUACUGACACCCCCCCGCUGCCGCCGCUCGCCAUCUUGGAGGAGACGAGGGGCGGGGCGGGGAGACCUCUGCCCCGGAACAGGAUCUCCGAGGCAGCCAAGAGGAGGAGGAAGUCGAUGAUUGCUAAGCGUCGCCGAGUUGGGAGCGUCUUCAGCCCUAAGGCAGCAUCAGAGAUCAUAAUCUUCUGCUCUCGUGGCAAGAAAUUUGUGCGGAUAGAGUUGAUACACCUCACUUGAAGUUGGCCUGGAGAAAAGAGGCGUGGGACUCCUGGACGGGGUUGGGAAACGGUCACCAGUUUCGGCUCAAAGCAGCCUGUUUCCAGGAGACCGCCAUGGUCGAGGCAGCGUCCUGGUCCCACGGUGCGGGGCCGGACGAUCAUUUAUGGGAUAUAAAUAAAAGGACUAUGAGGUGGUAAAUAAAAGACUACCAACUAGAAGCCAUAGGGAGUCAUUUGAAGGAGAAAUAGGCACGGCUCAUCUGUGGUUGAGGGAAAGGGAUCUUGAAAGAUGAUUAGGAGAACUUGGGUUCUGGGGAAAGUGCGGGAAGACAUUCUGGCAGAGAAGCAAACGUGAAGAAAGGUAAGAAGGCAAGAAUCUCCCAUUACAAAGGGUUUGGUGAAACCCUUUGCCUGUCCUUUUCGCUCCCUUCGGGAGCAGUCGGCAAUAAGCUGGAAGGGUAAUGGGGUGAAAAUGCCCGUGGUCAGUUCCCUGGCUCUGCGACUCACUAGAUGUCUGACAAUAAACAAGUUACUUAGCUUCUGGGA